CCUACGGGGGACAGCAGUGAGGAAUAUUGGUCAAUGGACGAGAGUCUGAACCAGCCAAGUAGCGUGAAGGAUGACUGCCCUAUGGGUUGUAAACUUCUUUUAUAUGGGAAUAAAAUGUUCCACGUGUGGGAUUUUGUAUGUACCAUAUGAAUAAGGAUCGGCUAACUCCGUGCCAGCAGCCGCGGUAAUACGGAGGAUCCGAGCGUUAUCCGGAUUUAUUGGGUUUAAAGGGAGCGUAGGUGGAUUGUUAAGUCAGUUGUGAAAGUUUGCGGCUCAACCGUAAAAUUGCAGUUGAAACUGGCAGUCUUGAGUACAGUAGAGGUGGGCGGAAUGCGUGGUGUAGCGGUGAAAUGCUUAGAUAUCACGAAGAACUCCGAUUGCGAAGGCAGUUCACUGGACUGCAACUGACACUGAGGCUCGAAAGUGUGGGUAUCAAACAGGAUUAGAUACCCUAGUAGUC
This 460-nucleotide ribosomal RNA is filed under the name uncultured bacterium. RNAcentral's name for it is "partial 16S ribosomal RNA". It matches the Rfam family "Bacterial small subunit ribosomal RNA", at positions 338 to 795 of the family's 1533-position model. The record is from RNAcentral.